This 240-nucleotide ribosomal RNA is filed under the name uncultured bacterium. Its description in RNAcentral is "partial 16S ribosomal RNA". It matches the Rfam family "Bacterial small subunit ribosomal RNA", at positions 94 to 334 of the family's 1533-position model. The record is from RNAcentral.
AGCGGCGGACGGGUGAGUAACGCGUGGGUAACCUGCCUCAUACAGGGGGAUAACAGUUAGAAAUGACUGCUAAUACCGCAUAAGACCACGGUGCCGCAUGGUACAGUGGUAAAAACUCCGGUGGUAUGAGAUGGACCCGCGUCUGAUUAGGUAGUUGGUGGGGUAACGGCCUACCAAGCCGACGAUCAGUAGCCGACCUGAGAGGGUGACCGGCCACAUUGGGACUGAGACACGGCCCAG